This 28-nucleotide small RNA is filed under the name Bombyx mori (domestic silkworm). Its description in RNAcentral is "ovarian small RNA-5229". Lineage: Eukaryota; Metazoa; Arthropoda; Insecta; Lepidoptera; Bombycidae. The record is from RNAcentral.
GCACAACACAGCAAGGGGCCACUUAGCC